UGAUUGUGGUGUGGGAAAUCUGUAGCAUUGACUUGAACCUCUCUAAUGCUUGAUAAAGAUUCUCACCAUAUUUUUGAUUGAAGGUUAAGAUCUCACUCUUAAUUUU
Molecule: non-coding RNA, 106 nt
Organism: Capsicum annuum
Lineage: Eukaryota; Viridiplantae; Streptophyta; Magnoliopsida; Solanales; Solanaceae
Source: Rfam